RNAcentral lists this ribosomal RNA (464 nucleotides) under uncultured bacterium. RNAcentral's name for it is "partial 16S ribosomal RNA". It matches the Rfam family "Bacterial small subunit ribosomal RNA", at positions 28 to 507 of the family's 1533-position model. The record is from RNAcentral.
GACGAACGCUGGCGGCGUGCUUAACACAUGCAAGUCGAACGGAAAGGCCCUGCUUGCAGGGUACUCGAGUGGCGAACGGGUGAGUAACACGUGGGUGAUCUGCCCUGCACUUCGGGAUAAGCCUGGGAAACUGGGUCUAAUACCGGAUAGGAGCCAUUUUUAGUGUGAUGGUUGGAAAGUUUUUUCGGUGUAGGAUGAGCUCGCGGCCUAUCAGCUUGUUGGUGGGGUAAUGGCCUACCAAGGCGGCGACGGGUAGCCGGCCUGAGAGGGUGGACGGCCACAUUGGGACUGAGAUACGGCCCAGACUCCUACGGGAGGCAGCAGUGGGGAAUAUUGCACAAUGGCGCAAGCCUGAUGCAGCGACGCCGCGUGGGGGAUGACGGCCUUCGGGUUGUAAACUCCUUUCGCUAGGGACGAAGCUUUUUGUGACGGUACCUAGAUAAGAAGCACCGGCUAACUACGUG